RNAcentral lists this ribosomal RNA (551 nucleotides) under uncultured compost bacterium. RNAcentral describes it as "bacterial SSU rRNA". It matches the Rfam family "Bacterial small subunit ribosomal RNA", at positions 355 to 897 of the family's 1533-position model. The record is from RNAcentral.
UAGGGAAUCUUCCACAAUGGGUGCAAACCUGAUGGAGCAAUGCCGCGUGAAUGAAGAAGGUCUUCGGAUCGUAAAGUUCUGUUAUUAGAGAAGAACAAGUCAAGGAGUAACUGUCUUGACUUUGACGGUACCUAACCAGAAAGUCACGGCUAACUACGUGCCAGCAGCCGCGGUAAUACGUAGGUGACAAGCGUUGUCCGGAAUUAUUGGGCGUAAAGGGAGCGCAGGCGGUUGGAAUAGUCUGAUGUGAAAGCCCACGGCUUAACCGUGGAAGGUCAUUGGAAACUGUCCAACUUGAAUGCAGAAGAGGUAAGUGGAAUUCCAUGUGUAGCGGUGAAAUGCGUAGAUAUAUGGAGGAACACCAGUGGCGAAGGCGACUUACUGGUCUGUGAUUGACGCUGAGGCUCGAAAGCGUGGGUAGCGAACAGGAUUAGAUACCCUGGUAGUCCACGCCGUAAACGAUGAGUGCUAAGUGUUGGAGGGUUUCCGCCCUUCAGUGCUGGAGUUAACGCAUUAAGCACUCCGCCUGGGGAGUACGACCGCAAGGUUGA